GACGUAGGGCGCGAGCGUUGUCCGGAUUUAUUGGGCGUAAAGAGCUCGUAGGCGGCUUGUCGCGUCGUCCGUGAAAACCUGCGGCUCAACUGCAGGCUGGCGGUCGAUACGGGCAGGCUGGAGUUCGGUAGGGGAGACUGGAAUUCCUGGUGUAGCGGUGAAAUGCGCAGAUAUCAGGAGGAACACCGGUGGCGAAGGCGGGUCUCUGGGCCGAUACUGACGCUGAGGUGCGAAAGCGUGGGGAGCGAACAGG
This 253-nucleotide ribosomal RNA is filed under the name uncultured bacterium. Its description in RNAcentral is "partial 16S ribosomal RNA". It matches the Rfam family "Bacterial small subunit ribosomal RNA", at positions 524 to 776 of the family's 1533-position model. The record is from RNAcentral.